UGGCUCAGAUUGAACGCAGGCGGCAGGCUUAACACAUGCAAGUCGAACGGUAGCAGGAGAAAGCUUGCUUUCUUGCUGACGAGUGGCGGACGGGUGAGUAAUGCUUGGGAAUCUGGCUUAUGGAGGGGGAUAACUACGGGAAACUGUAGCUAAUACCGCGUAAUAUCGAAAGAUUAAAGUGUGGGACCUUCGGGCCACAUGCCAUGGGAUGAGCCCAAGUGGGAUUAGGUAGUUGGUGGGGUAAAGGCCUACCAAGCCUGCGAUCUCUAGCUGGUCUGAGAGGAUGGCCAGCCACACUGGAACUGAGACACGGUCCAGACUCCUACGGGAGGCAGCAGUGGGGAAUAUUGCGCAAUGGGGGGAACCCUGACGCAGCCAUGCCGCGUGAAUGAAGAAGGCCUUCGGGUUGUAAAGGACUUUUGUCAGGGAAGAAAAGGACAGGGUUAAUACCCCUGUCUGAUGACGGUACCUGAAGAAUAAGCACCGGCUAACUACGUGCCAGCAGCCGCGGUAAUACGUAGGGUGCGAGCGUUAACCGGAAUAACUGGGCGUAAAGGGCACGCACGCGGUGACUUAAGUGAGGUGUGAAAGCCCCGGGCUUAACCUGGGAAUUGCAUUUCAUACUGGGUCGCUAGAGUACUUUAGGGAGGGGUAGAAUUUCCACGUGUAGCGGUGAAAUGCGUAGAGAUGUGGAGGAAUACCGAAGGCGAAGGCAGCCCCUUUGGGAAUGUACUGACGCUCAUGUGCGAAAGCGGUGGGGAGCAAACAGGAUUAGAUACCCU
Molecule: ribosomal RNA, 782 nt
Filed under: uncultured bacterium
Lineage: Bacteria
Description: bacterial SSU rRNA
Rfam family: Bacterial small subunit ribosomal RNA
Source: RNAcentral